Molecule: ribosomal RNA, 253 nt
Filed under: uncultured bacterium
Lineage: Bacteria
Description: partial 16S ribosomal RNA
Rfam family: Bacterial small subunit ribosomal RNA
Source: RNAcentral
UACGUAGGGUGCGAGCGUUGUCCGGAAUUAUUGGGCGUAAAGAGCUUGUAGGCGGUUUGUCGCGUCUGCCGUGAAAAUUCGAGGCUCAACCUCGAACUUGCGGUGGGUACGGGCAGACUAGAGUGUGGUAGGGGAGACUGGAAUUCCUGGUGUAGCGGUGAAAUGCGCAGAUAUCAGGAGGAACACCGGUGGCGAAGGCGGUUCUCUGGACAUUACCUGACGCUGAGGAGCGAAAGUGUGGGGAGCGAACAGG